Molecule: ribosomal RNA, 1356 nt
Filed under: uncultured bacterium
Lineage: Bacteria
Description: bacterial SSU rRNA
Rfam family: Bacterial small subunit ribosomal RNA
Source: RNAcentral
UGCAAGUCGAACGAGGUCUUCGGACCUAGUGGCGCACGGGUGAGUAACAUGUGGGAAUCUACCUGAAGGUUCGGAAUAACUGCGGGAAACUGUAGCUAAUACCGGAUGUGUCUGAAAAGAGAAAGAUUUAUCGCCUUCAGAUGAGCCCGCACUAGAUUAGCUAGUUGGUGAGGUAAUUGCUCCACCAAGGCUACGAUCUAUAGCUGAUUUGAGAGGAUGAUCAGCCACACUGGGACUGAGACACGGCCCAGACUCCUACGGGAGGCAGCAGUGGGGAAUAUUGGACAAUGGGGGAAACCCUGAUCCAGCAAUGCCGCGUGAGUGAAGAAGGCCUUCGGGUUGUAAAACUCUUUCAUCAAUGAAGAUAAUGACAUUAAUUGAAGAAGAAGCUCCGGCUAACUCCGUGCCAGCAGCCGCGGUAAUACGGAGGGGGCUAGCGUUGUUCGGAAUUACUGGGCGUAAAGCGUAUGUAGGCGGAUCAAAAAGUUAGAUGUGAAAUCCCUGGGCUUAACCUAGGAACUGCAUUUAAAACUAGUGAUCUAGAAUUUGGUAGAGGUUAGUAGAAUUUCCAGUGUAGAGGUGAAAUUCGUAGAUAUUGGAAAGAAUACCAGUGGCGAAGGCGACUAACUGGGCCAUUUUUGACGCUGAGAUACGAAAGCGUGGGUAGCAAACAGGAUUAGAUACCCUGGUAGUCCACGCAGUAAACGAUGAGUGCUAGUCGCUGGGUCAAUGGAUUCGGUGUCGAAGCUAACGCAUUAAGCACUCCGCCUGGGAAGUACGGUCGCAAGAUUAAAACUCAAAUAAAUUGACGGGGGCCCGCACAAGCGGUGGAGCAUGUGGUUUAAUUCGAAGCAACGCGAAGAACCUUACCAGACCUUGACAUGGUAUGUUUGGAUUACAGAAUCGUAAUCUUUCAGUUCGGCUGGCAUACACACAGGUGCUGCAUGGCUGUCGUCAGCUCGUGUCGUGAGAUGUUGGGUUAAGUCCCGCAACGAGCGCAACCCUCAUCUUUAGUUGCCAUCAGGUUAUGCUGGGCACUCUAAAGAAACUGCCGGUGAUAAGCUGGAGGAAGGCGGGGAUGACGUCAAGUCCUCAUGGCCCUUACGGUCUGGGCUACACACGUGCUACAAUGGUGGUGACAGUGGGCAGCUAUGUCGCGAGACAAAGCUAAUCCCAAAAAGCCAUCUCAGUUCAGAUUGGACUCUGCAACUCGAGUCCAUGAAGUUGGAAUCGCUAGUAAUCGUAGAUCAGCAUGCUACGGUGAAUACGUUCUCGGGCCUUGUACACACCGCCCGUCACGUCAUGGGAAUUGGUUUUACCUUAAGCCGGUGCGCUAACCUUCGGGAGGCAGCCGUC